GCAGUAAUCUGGGUGAGAAGAUGAUAGUUGUGCCAGGGUUUCAGCAGUAAAUAUAGUAGUGGUGGUUGGGUUAGGGACAGGCCAAUAGGACUUACUGACACCUUGGAAGUGAAGAGUAAGAAAAAGAGAGAGAUAAAUAAUGGAAAGCCUCAUUCCUCCAAACUAAAACAUGGCAAUGCAAUUCAUCUGCUCUCUUCAUCCCAGAAAGAACUCUGCCAUCUUCCCUACCCUACCUACCACUACUGUCAUAGGAAUAGAGCAUGAGAGACCAAAUCUCCAGAAGGAAGAGAAGAAGACCUUAUGCCUCCAAUGUCUUCAUUCCUUGACCACUUUCCUCAUGGUCAGGUGAAUUCCUACUGAAAUCCUCUUUCCGGCUCUUCUAUCCCUAACAGAUGAAAUCAACCUACUGAAAUCCAGGUCUACUAGUGAAAUAAAACUAGGCAUAUUUUUUCACUGGAUGAACAUACAGCAUGAAGACAGGCACAUAUUCUGCUUGAUAAUUUCCUGUUCUGUACUUUUAACAUUUAUUUUAAAACCCUGCUUAUCCUGGAGCAAUCUAUUUCUCCAACCAAACAUGAAGCAAAUGUCUACUGUUUCCUGCGUUCCUUGUUUAGAGGGCCAGAGGUAUUAAGAUCCAGAAACAUGAUUGAGGAAAUUCCAUUUAAUUGAUAGUUUAUUGGUUGCAAAACUAUAAGCUCAUUGGAAGUAGGAAAUGUAUCUUACUGGACUUGACAUCUCCCAGAGCCCCUGGUAGAAGCUGCUGUUCAUGUUGAGCCCUCAAUGCUAUUGGGCUGAAAAAUGUUAUAAGAAUUAUCAUCUGUUUCCUAGAUGAAGAAGAGUUCAGAAUAUCCUUGAAAUAUUUAACUUCUGCAGAAAAGUGCAUGCUGUAUCAGUUUAAAAUACUAUGUAAUAUUGAUGUAGAGUUUUUCCAGUUAUGACUAGACUCUUCAUCCUAGCUUUCAAAGACUCAAUCCAGUGUCCACAAUUCACCUUGUUCAUCUUAUUUUGAGCAAUUAUGUCAUUUGGAGUCCAUUCCUCAAAUGUUCUGUUGUCCAUAACAUCCUCCUGUAUAUGAAUCCUACCUAAACUAUAUGUUCUUUUAAAAUAAAGAUCAAACUUUUAUUUAUUCAUCUUUAUAUAUCUUUUUCUAAGUUGCUCAACUGAGUUUGUGGAAAGUUUUUGAGAGAGAUUAAAGCAAACCAUUCAUGCUACAAAAGAGCAAAACGAAAGAUAAUUAAAGUAUUAAGAUCAAAGAAAAGGGGAUAUUGCAAAAAAUGCCAAAUGGAAGGCUCAACAUUAUUGAUUCAGUUUCAAUCUUGGGUCUGAGCAUCCUAAAAGCCAAUGGGUAAAAGAAAAUAGGAAUUGUCCUAGUUCUUAUCAGAAAGAAGCAAGCAGAACAGGUCUAAAAAAGCUAUGCCUAGUAUGAUUCUCACAAGGGAUUCUGUAAUGAGGGAUGCAAUUAGCAUUUCACAGAAAAUACAUUUAGAAAUUGUGUAUGCUGUUUCCUACAAGUCCUUCCAAAAAUGGUGAUGGCCAUGUCCUUUUAUCACUAAUGUACUGCAAACUAACAGCUGCUAGAUAAAUGUUAUCAGUGUUGACAACUCUGGGUGCACAUCUGUGUUUAAGCAAAAUGUUCCUUUUUUGGGAAUACUCUUCUCCAGUACCUUCAUGAUUUGAACCUUAUCUAUUCUUCCAGGCUCAGCCCAAAACUCAAACCUGACCUCCAUGAAGACUUCCUUCCUCAUGUUGAUUUUCUUACUCUGCAUUAAUGUGAGAGUUCUGCAUACGGAACUUAGUGUUUUUGUUUAAACAUUGUUUUAGAGUUGCUCAGUAAGUAUGCCUUUCCCUUCAACUAGCUGGUAUGAAACAUUAAAGAUGGCUGCAAUUUCUUUUGUACUUCUCUCAUGGAGAAGAAGAGUCUAAUUAUCCUCCCAUUGAAUCUGGGCUGGCCUUGGUGACUUGCUUGACCAAUAGAAUAUGGUAGAAGUAAUGUCAUGGCAAUUCAGGCUUAUCUUCUCAGACAACUAGCACAUUCUCUCUGGACUUCUUAGAACCCUGAUGUGCCAUGUUGUAGAAAUUCUAAGCCAUGAGAAAAAGCCACAUGCAGGUACUUUUGUUAACAGUCGCAACUGAGCCUAGCCUUCCAUCCAUCUAUUUUAUGAACUAGGCCUAUGCUGAAGCUGUCCUGGGCUCUCUAGACAGUCCAUCAACCAGCUGACCACCACCAAGUGACCUCCAUCAAUGCCAUCCGGAACUAAAGAAUUCUCAUCCAAUUCCUGCCUGAAUUCCUAUAGAAUCUUGAAAUCGAAUGAAAUGUUGAUUGUUGUAAGACAUUAAAUCUUGGGAUUAUUUGUUAUGUAACAAUUGAUAGCAAAUCAGUCAUAAGCAUCCAGAGGCUAUUUGUUGAAGCGAUUGGAUAAAUGAAGUAGAAUACAUGAUGUAAAUCUAAAUCAUGUAUUUUACUUCAUUUACCCAUUCACUUCAACACAGAGCUGUGGAAUACCCACCAUGUACAAGGCAAUGUUGUAGGAGCUGGAGAUAAAAUGAAAUGAAUGAGACAAAUAUCUCUGUCACACUAGUAGGGGAGACAAAGAAUGAACAUGAAAACAAAUAAUGUUAUUAAAUACUUUUGUAAUAUCCAAAUUGCCAGGGACAGCGCUAACUAUAGAAAGUAGUGACUAAUGAAGGCUGCAUUUCUAUGCACACACAACACAGCUAAAUGUGUCAUUCCCAACUUUACCUAAAAAAAAGCAAACAAAGAAACUUAACUGAAUCCAAGCAUUUAGUAGACUAAGUUACUAACAAGACAAGUCAGAUAAGCCAGAGAGGUUUAUAAACAACACAUUUCUAGUACAAAUGGGUAUAAUGAAAAGAUGUUUACCUGUUUUUUUUUUUUUUCUGAAAAGCAGUGUCUUCUUUGCCUUUGGAGUCCUAAAACUUUUAUUAGGAAAAAAGGGGGCAAACCCCCAGCUUUUCAGAAAUGUAGGUUAUUCCCUAACCAGCGUAGAAUGUAUUGCUCCAUAAAAUGUCAACAUCAAAACAGUAUAGAAAAAAUAAUUACAGACAGUAUUAGUGUUGUAAGCUGAUAAGGACCAGAUGGUCUUUUGUAUUUAUGGUUUUCCUUGUGCAUACAAAUGCUUUGGGGAUCUAAUUAGCCUUCUACAAAACUCAAACUGGGUAAUUACUAUCAUUAUCCCCUUUUCAAAUAAAUCUGAAGUCUAAACUGCAAUUAUGUUUUUUAUCUUACAUUUGGUAUUCGCACAUUUUAAGAAUUGUUCUUUGCCAUCUACUCAGAAAACUUCUUAACAUGGACUGAAGUAUAUAAAAUGCAGGAAGAUUAUCAAAAAAACACUUUUUGGAAAAAAUGGCUCACUCUGUUAGAGGAAAGUGCUGACAGCCAUGGAAGCAAGCACUUCCUCAACAAGUCCCGCCUCUGUCAUAUUUUCACUCCAAUCAAGAAGAAAGUCCCUCUUCCCCAAGACUUUAUAUUUCCAGUUAUGCUUUGCACAGCAAAAGAGAAGAAUCACUACAUGGAGACAUAACCAGUCACGCAUGUUAGAGAAAGGAUUCUCUGUGAGAUGCGAUGUGGCAGCCGCUUCAAUUAACUUCUGACUCUGCCCCCAAAGUGCAAUACCUGGGCCAGCAAUGAGCUAUGAAAAGGCAGCAGUGCGCAUAACAAGCCUGGUAUGUCAUCUUUAUGGGUUUUUUGGCCUCAGGACAGUCAAGUCACGUGGUAACAUCUCUGUAUUGCAAAGCAAAGGGGACGUAAUCACAUGUGUCCGUGAACUCAUAAUAGAAAAUUCAUAAAAGUCUAUCUCCAGUGAGAAGUAUGUGAAAAGGGGUGUUAGGAAGUGAACAUUUUAUUUUAGGCACAAGGCCAAGGAUCAGAGUUAUCGGGGGGGCGGGGUGGUAUGUGUGUCUUCCUCGAUAGAACAAAACACAGUGACAGGUAUCAGAAACUACUUCUUCCUCAGCAUCACCCAGUGAGGAAGUCAGGAAUAUUCAGGAUGUUGGCUUGACAUCUCAAAAUUUAGCAUUAUGAUUACUGAUCCAGGGGUCAAAAUCCAAAAAUAAUUGAUAGAGGGAACCCUCAGACCUGCAACUCAUGAACAUAAUUGAUAGAGAGAAAACCCAUGACCUGCAACUGAGCAGGGUACUUGGCACUAGGGAGGCACUUUUACUAAAAAGAGAUGCUAUAUGUCAAUGCAGGCUUCAGAGGCACCCCCACCCCUGGCCUGCCUGACAAAAGGAUGGCUCUGGGGCUGCCACCUUGGCCCCCGGCCCUGGAGACUGCCCUGGGCUGCCCUCGCAGGCAGCAGCAGAGGCACCCAGGCAUUGACAAGGAUGGCUGCAAGGUCAGCACUUUAUUCUCCCUGAUAUGAUGACAGUAACCUUUGCAAUGCACUGAAAAGAAUCUAGAAGGCAUGUAGCCAUUCUUUUAUCCAUUCAACAAAUAUUUACUAGGCAUCUACUUAGUGUGAUAAAUCACAUGAGGCAAUUUGUGCAAGUUCAGAUGUCAACAAAACAUUGGCCUUGGAAAUAUUGUCAGGUUCCAAUCAUAAAAGUCCCCUACCCAAUACCGUAUGAGAACAAAAGUGCUUAGGUGGCUUGGUGUGUUUGCACACAAGCAGUGGUAAAGUUUUUGCAUCUUAGGCUUCUGUGAGAGCCUGGGGUGUUUAUGGGCAGUGAUCACAAUUGGGGAAUUCAUAAUGCCAGGGACUGUCUUCAUCUAUCUCUGAGUGUAUAUAUCUCCUUGUAACAGCACCUUAAUAUUUGUACAGUCAUUUUUAUAGUUUACAGUGUAUCUUUACCCUCAUCAUCCUCCUUGUUGGAAGCAUAACAAGUGAUCUUAUCCCAAUUUCACAGAUGGACAAGAUGGAUGGGAGACAUUAAGGGACUUGCCCAAAGCUAUGCAGCAGUAAGAAUCCUAAGCAGGACUCACAUGCAGGUUUUCUCACUACAUGAAAAACCUACAAACUUUCUGGACACUGCACUGGCUGAUGAGGGUUUUUCCUGAAGCCUCUGAGCAGAAGUUGGGUGUCAGGGCAGCUCACUGCAGGGCUGUCUGGGCAGCUUGUUUAGGUGACUUAGGCUGCUUGGCAUCUUAAAUGCCCCUUUGCUUCUGACGGUGCAGGUCCAAAGCCCAGGGGAAAUUUGAAUUAGGGCAAGACCACAGUAUCUGCAUUAAUUUGCAACCUGAUGUAAUAGAAAGAACAAAGAUUUUCAGUUAGUAGGUUCAGGUUCAAGGCUCAGCUUGGUCCACAUGAGCUCCAUGAAGUAAUUUAAUCUCUUUGGGAUUUGGCUUCGUUAUAAGAAAUCAUGUCUGUGUUGUGUAGCAAUUUAAAGCAAAAGAUAAGCAUCCUGAGGCUGAAAUAAUGUAUUCUGCUUCAUUUAUUCAUUCAUAUUACCUCACAGGGUCACUAGGAUAAUUGAAUGAGAUGGCAUGGACAAAGCCCAGGUACAGUGCAUGGCAGAGUAAGGGUUAGCUCUGUUCCAUUUUCUGUCAGAUUUUCUGUGGGUUUUGUUUUACUCUGCAAAGGAGAGAAGGAUAUGCUUAAGAGUUCCCAUCAUGGGAAUGCCCCAGGACUCUAGGCAUCUAGAGAAAGCCUUUUUGCUGGCUAAAUGUCAGCAAGGCAGCUGGAGGGAAGUGUCAGUCAUGACAUAGUCUGCUGUCUCCCAGUAAGUAAAGGGUAAGAAGCCCUGUCUCAAUGCUCUCUAGAAAUGCUCAGCCAAUCCUCAAAUGGGCAGUAAUGCAUCACUAUCUGCCUUGUUUAAUGAUGGAAAUUAAAGGCAAAAACAAUAGCAACCAUGUCUGCAUUUUCAUAAGCAUUUCUUGCUGAUUUAAAUAUAGUCUGUGAAUUCUCUGGUCAGGAUGAAAUCCAAAAUACCUUCCAUAUCCACUUAGCAGAAUGGGCUUCCUGCCAGUCAAAUGGUUGUGUGGGGCCCAGAAAAUAAUUGAGAUGACAGUCCAGUUUUGCACUGGAGGUUAAAAUAUCAAAUUGUAUCAGUUCUAUGUCUGAUGUUGAUUCAUCCUGCCAGCUUACUGGGUUCUGAGGAUGACAACUAAAGCAGUGAACUGGCCAUGUUCCCACAUGAGGGCAUCUCUGAGUCAUGGCACUGGAGAACCCAAAGGCAAUCACAGCACAGGGUGAAGAUGGGAAAAGAGGAUGAGGCUUAAAGCCCAGGCAGAUCUGGCAGAAACUUUUCCUCUACCAGCAUCCAUGGCUGGCUUGGAUCAGUUCCUCAGGUUCUGAAAGGCAGAACACAAAGGAAGAUCCACAGCCCCCCUUUUCAGAUACAUGCAUUUCAUGACCUGCCACAGCUGUUCCCAUUUGGAAGAAUGGACAUGUGGUCCAGGUUGGAUCAAUGGCUUUCAUGAAAAUUCAGACUUCCUCAAACGGCUUCUACAAGUGUGCAUUGUGCCUCCCUUCAACCUCAUGUUGCAGAGAUCUCAACAUUCCAGUAGCAUUUGGUAUUGGUAUAUACUUUUUCAGCUAUUAAGAACCAUUGUUUUUGUUUGCUUGAGUUUUACAGUUAUAGCAAUAAACUUUGUUUCUAAACUUAACAUAAAUGAUAAAGUGACAAAAUGAUUAUAGCAUGUUUGCAGGGGGUACCCCCAAAAGACAUAUCUAUUCUAGCCCUUGGAAUACGUGAAUGUGAUGCUAUUUGGAAAAAGGAUCUUUGUAGAUAUAAUUAGGUUAAAGACUUCAAGAUGAGAUCAUCCUAGAUUACCUGGGUAGACCCUAAAUCCAAUGACAGAUAUCCUUAUAAGAGAAAGGCAGAGGGGGAUAUGGAACAUGGAGUGGAAAGCAAUGUGAAGACAGAGGCCGAGAUUGGAGUGACGCAGCCUCAAGCCAAGGAAUACCUGGAGCCACUGGAAGCUGGAGGAAGCAGGGAAGAAUGCUUCCCUAGAGCCUUCAGAGAGGGCAUGGCCUUGCGGAAACCUUGAUUUCAGACUUCUGGCAUCCAGGACUGUGAGAGAAUAAAUGCCUGAUGUUUUAAGCCAUGAAGUUUCUGGUAACUUGUCAUAUUGGCCCUAGGAAACUAAAAAGCUAUUAGAGUACAUUUAUAAUUAUGCAGAUAUUUAGCAUAUAUGUUAAAUAAAUAUAUAAAUACAUAUUAUGUAUCUGGG
This 7132-nucleotide long non-coding RNA is filed under the name Homo sapiens (human). RNAcentral's name for it is "HSALNT0364373". The record is from RNAcentral. Lineage: Eukaryota; Metazoa; Chordata; Mammalia; Primates; Hominidae.